RNAcentral lists this ribosomal RNA (814 nucleotides) under uncultured bacterium. RNAcentral's name for it is "bacterial SSU rRNA". It matches the Rfam family "Bacterial small subunit ribosomal RNA", at positions 8 to 796 of the family's 1533-position model. The record is from RNAcentral.
AGAGUUUGAUCAUGGCUCAGAACGAACGCUGGCGGCGUAGAUUAGGCAUGCAAGUCGAACGAGAAAGGGUUCGCAAGAACCCGAGUAAAGUGGCGAAAGGGUGAGCAGUACCUAGGUAACCUGCCCUGAAGAUGGGGAAAACGUUUCUAACGGAACGCUAAUACCCAAUGUGUCCGCGGGACGGAAUCGCCCUGCGGGUAAACGGUAGCCUCUGUUUACAAGCUUCCGCUUCGGGAGGGGCCUCGGGCCUAUCAGAUAGUUGGCGGGGUAACGGCCCACCAAGUCUGGGACGGGUAGCCGGUCUGAGAGGAUGGUCGGCCACACUGGAACUGAGACACUGUCCAGACUCCUACGGGAGGCUGCAGUCGAGGAUCUUCUGCAAUGGGCGCAAGCCUGACAGAGCGACGCCGCGUGGGGGAGGAAGGCCUUCGGGUUGUAAACCCCUGUUGUCGGUUAAGAAUGCUGGGGUGCAAAUAGCGCUACCAGUUGACUAAGGCCGAUGAGGAAGCCACGGCUAACUACGUGCCAGCAGCCGCGGUAAGACGUAGGUGGCGAGCGUUGUUCGGAAUCACUGGGCAUAAAGCGUGCGUAGGCGGCUGGGUCAGUCAGGUGUGAAAGCCCUCGGCUCAACCGAGGAACUGCGCCUGAUACUGCCUGGCUUGAGGUCCGGAGGGGAGAGUGGAAUUCCCGGUGGAGCGGUGAAAUGCGUAGAGAUCGGGAAGAACGCCGGCGGCGAAAGCGACUCUCUGGUCGGAAUCUGACGCUGAGGCACGAAAGCUAGGGGAGCAAACGGGAUUAGAUACCCUAGUAGUCC